UCCUUAUAGUUCUACAUCUGAGCCUCAUACAAUUUUAAGCCAUGGCUCAUUGGGCGUGGCGUGGGGAAGCCUCAGAUUUCUAGACUAUUUAACUAUGUUCGUAUGAAUAUUGUUCUAUUUGAUGAAGUCAUGAUUUCUGCCCAGAUCCAAGCUUCCAGAGAGCAGAAGACAAGUUGUCUACUUCCCCCCAAGCUGCAUGUUUUGCUUUUGUGGUCUCUGUGUCAUUCCAGGCUAAGCCUUGUAACAAUUUGACUGGGCCAUUGAUCAAAGCCAGUUUUUGUACUCUCAACACAUCCCAACAAUGGGAGGUAGGAGGGACCACACAGAUGCUUCCAAAAUGUUGAACCGCGAGAAGGAAUAGAGAGUUUCUCUAACAUGCUGAUAUCGAUAUGGUCUGCAGACUAUUUCGGUUCCUAGGCUUAUAAGACCUCUUUUAACUCAAGAAAAUAAGGAAACGAUCUUUCCUGAGAUGCCAUGGUUCCCUGUGGCCUUUCUGGAGACGUCCACACGACCCAGAGGCAGGGGUGUCUUAGGGAAGCGGCGGCC
Long non-coding RNA from Mustela lutreola (European mink), 546 nucleotides. RefSeq lists it as uncharacterized. The record is from RefSeq and is a predicted model, not a curated record. NCBI's taxonomy places the organism in Eukaryota, Metazoa, Chordata, Mammalia, Carnivora, Mustelidae. The transcript is spliced from 3 exons.